CUCAAACUAAACUACCUUCAGUAACAAAACAGUGAUUUCAAGAUUUUAAAUGGACUGAUUUUGCAAAACUUCCCCCAAAAAUGCCUCUUUGGGUGUUUCCUUAUUAUAACGUUUAGCCUCCCUUGCCAGAACUCGGUGUUACAGAUGAUGGUCUCCGGGGGAAGCUCCAUGUGACGCUCUCUUCUCGGUCAGGUUGAGAAUUGGACUUUGACUUUGAUUCAGUGACUUCAAGGUGGCCAAAACAAGCACACACCAUCACCCCUCCACCACUAUUAAGUAUGGAGAAACCUACUGAAUAUAAACAGAUGGACAAUUCAACUCAAGAGGCUUCACCAACAGAUGGUCCUCUAAAGUGUGAGUCAGAACUCAAAUCUAAACUAAAGAGGGAGCUCCGGUGUGCGUUUGAGGCGAGCACCAAAGGAGAAAGCCCAACCCUUCUGAAUCUGAUAUACACAGAUCUGUACAUCAUAGAGGGAGGGACUGCAGAGGUCACUGAUGAACAUGAGCUCAGACAGAUUGAAAUGGCAUCCAGGAAAUCAGACAGGCAAGAAAAAACAGUCAGACAAGACAAGAUCUUUAAAGGCUCACCUGGAAGAGAAGAACCAAUCAGAACAGUGCUGACAAAGGGAGUGGCUGGCAUUGGGAAAACAGU
This is a long non-coding RNA of Pundamilia nyererei, 652 nucleotides long. RefSeq lists it as uncharacterized. The transcript is spliced from 4 exons. NCBI's taxonomy places the organism in Eukaryota, Metazoa, Chordata, Actinopteri, Cichliformes, Cichlidae. The record is from RefSeq and is a predicted model, not a curated record.